RNAcentral lists this ribosomal RNA (465 nucleotides) under Vreelandella stevensii. RNAcentral's name for it is "partial 16S ribosomal RNA". It matches the Rfam family "Bacterial small subunit ribosomal RNA", at positions 338 to 795 of the family's 1533-position model. Lineage: Bacteria; Pseudomonadati; Pseudomonadota; Gammaproteobacteria; Oceanospirillales; Halomonadaceae. The record is from RNAcentral.
CCUACGGGGGGCAGCAGUGGGGAAUAUUGGACAAUGGGGGGAACCCUGAUCCAGCCAUGCCGCGUGUGUGAAGAAGGCCCGCGGGUUGUAAAGCACUUUCAGUGAGGAAGAACGCCUGGUGGUUAAUACCCAUCAGGAAAGACAUCACUCACAGAAGAAGCACCGGCUAACUCCGUGCCAGCAGCCGCGGUAAUACGGAGGGUGCGAGCGUUAAUCGGAAUUACUGGGCGUAAAGCGCGCGUAGGUGGCUUGAUAAGCCGGUUGUGAAAGCCCCGGGCUCAACCUGGGAACGGCAUCCGGAACUGUCAAGCUAGAGUGCAGGAGAGGAAGGUAGAAUUCCCGGUGUAGCGGUGAAAUGCGUAGAGAUCGGGAGGAAUACCAGUGGCGAAGGCGGCCUUCUGGACUGACACUGACACUGAGGUGCGAAAGCGUGGGUAGCAAACAGGAUUAGAUACCCGGGUAGUC